GAUUAAGGCUUAAUUGUUGUUAUUGUUGUAAUUUGCUUUGGAAUUACAAGGCACAUGUAAUUCAAGCAUAUCUCUUAUUUUAUGAUGCGUAAAUUACAACAAAGUCCUUGAGGUUUAACAAAACUCUCUUAUUAGUCCCUUGUGUAAGUUUGGUAACGAUUUGGUGCUUUAAUUUUAUUUCAUUAAAAAUUUGGUCAUCACAUUUUACUUCUAUUAACAAAUUGAUCAUCAAAAGUCAUUGGUUAUAGGGACCAAUUUGUUAAUAGAAGUAAACUAUGAGGACCAAAGUAUUAAUGAAAAUAAAAUUUAAGGAUCAAAUCGUUACCAAACUAACACAAGGGAUUAAUCUGUAAGUUCUGUUAAACCUUAGGAACUUCAUUGUAAUUUAC
RNAcentral lists this unclassified non-coding RNA (389 nucleotides) under Hevea brasiliensis (rubber tree). The record is from RNAcentral. Lineage: Eukaryota; Viridiplantae; Streptophyta; Magnoliopsida; Malpighiales; Euphorbiaceae.